GCGCGGCGCUGAGGCAUGAGCGCGGCGCGCGCGCCCGAGCCCCGCGACCCGCCGCGCCACUCCCACCAGCCGCACCACCCGCCGCACGCAGCGCACCACCAGGGCUCAGCAGAUUCGAACUACUCGCAGCCAUCGUCGGAACUGUCGCUGGACGAAGACAAAGAGGCGCUGCGCCGCGAGAAGGAAGCGCAGGCACUCACACAGCUGGACAAGGCACGGUCAAAGCCGGUGGCGUUCGCAGUGCGCACCAAUGUGUCGUACGAUGGCGCGCUCGACGACGACUCGCCCGUGCACGGCAGCGCCAUCUCCUUCGAGGUGCGGGACUUCCUGCACAUCAAGGAGAAGUACGACAACAACUGGUGGAUCGGGCGGCUCGUGAAGGAGGGCUGCGACAUCGGGUUCAUCCCGUCGCCCGUGAAGCUAGAGACAGUACGCGCGGGGUUGGUGGCGCGGGGGCGGUACGCGCGGCCGGCGUCGGCGGCCAACCUGGCGGCGCCGGCCGGCCCGCCGCCGCCGCCCGGACCCAGCCGAGGUAGCACCCCCCCCACGCCCGGCGAGGAGUCGGAUGGCGCUGGUCGUGGGCGCGGCGCCGGCGCGCUCCCCGCCGGCAAGGAGAAACGCAAGCCCUUCUUCAAGAAGCAAGAAGCCUGCACACCAUACGAUGUAGUGCCUUCCAUGAGGCCCGUGGUCCUUGUAGGACCCUCGCUCAAGGGUUAUGAGGUCACGGACAUGAUGCAAAAAGCCCUCUUUGACUUCUUGAAGAGACGGUUCGAGGGCAGGAUUAUAAUAACUCGCGUGAUGGCGGACAUAUCGUUGGCGAAGCGGUCGCUGAUGAACAACCCGUCGAAGCGCGCCAUCAUGGAGCGAUCCAACUCGCGCUCCACGUGCCUUGCGGAGGUGCAGGCGGAGAUCGAGAGGAUAUUCGAGCUGGCACGGACGCUGCAGCUGGUGGUACUAGACUGCGAUACCAUCAACCAUCCCUCACAACUCGCCAAGACCUCGCUCGCGCCCACCAUCGUGUACCUCAAAAUCUCCAGUCCAAAGGUACUACAGCGGCUGAUCAAGUCGCGCGGCAAGGGGCAGAGCAAGAACCUAUCGGUGCAAAUGGUGGCAGCGGAAAAGCUGUCGCAGUGCCCGCCGGAGAUGUUCGACGUCAUUCUAGAUGAGAACCAGCUCGAAGAUGCCUGCGAGCACAUCGCAGAGUAUCUCGAGGCAUACUGGCGCGCGACGCACCCGCCGGCGGCGGCGGCGCUGUCCCGGCCGCUGCCGCACGCCGCGCCGCACGCGCCGCACCACGCGCACCAUCACGCGCAACCUGGUUAUAAGGCCGAAAAUCUACCUUAGAAGAAUAUUGGGACGAUAUCAACGGUCCAUGAUUGCAGUCAUCCUAGUACUGACUUAACAAUACUUGUUUCAUAUUAGGGGGCCGGGGACGCGCGCCGCGGCCGGAGCGGCUGGAGGAGGAGUUCUACGGGCGCGAGCGCUACCCGCG
This 1492-nucleotide unclassified non-coding RNA is filed under the name Pectinophora gossypiella (pink bollworm). RNAcentral describes it as "voltage-dependent L-type calcium channel subunit beta-4". Lineage: Eukaryota; Metazoa; Arthropoda; Insecta; Lepidoptera; Gelechiidae. The record is from RNAcentral.